UGGGAACGUGCCCUUUGGUUCGGGACAACUCCGGGAAACUGGAGCUAAUACCGGAUACGCCCUUCGGGGGAAAGAUUUAUUGCCAAAGGAUCGGCCCGCGUCUGAUUAGCUAGUUGGUAGGGUAAUGGCCUACCAAGGCGACGAUCAGUAGCUGGUCUGAGAGGAUGAUCAGCCACACUGGGACUGAGACACGGCCCAGACUCCUACGGGAGGCAG
This 216-nucleotide ribosomal RNA is filed under the name uncultured bacterium. Its description in RNAcentral is "partial 16S ribosomal RNA". It matches the Rfam family "Bacterial small subunit ribosomal RNA", at positions 118 to 351 of the family's 1533-position model. The record is from RNAcentral.